This 424-nucleotide ribosomal RNA is filed under the name uncultured bacterium. Its description in RNAcentral is "bacterial SSU rRNA". It matches the Rfam family "Bacterial small subunit ribosomal RNA", at positions 358 to 774 of the family's 1533-position model. The record is from RNAcentral.
GGAAUCUUCGGCAAUGGGGGCAACCCUGACCGAGCAACGCCGCGUGAGUGAAGAAGGUUUUCGGAUCGUAAAGCUCUGUUGUUAGAGAAGAACGUGCGUGAGAGUAACUGUUCACGCAGUGACGGUAUCUAACCAGAAAGCCACGGCUAACUACGUGCCAGCAGCCGCGGUAAUACGUAGGUGGCAAGCGUUAUCCGGAUUUAUUGGGCGUAAAGCGAGCGCAGGCGGUCUUUUAAGUCUAAUGUGAAAGCCUUCGGCUUAACCGAAGAAGUGCAUUGGAAACUGGAAGACUGGAGUGCAGAAGAGGACAGUGGAACUCCAUGUGUAGCGGUGAAAUGCGUAGAUAUAUGGAAGAACACCAGUGGCGAAGGCGGCUGUCUGGUCUGUAACUGACGCUGAGGCUCGAAAGCGUGGGGAGCAAACA